This 1096-nucleotide long non-coding RNA is filed under the name Mytilus galloprovincialis (Mediterranean mussel). Lineage: Eukaryota; Metazoa; Mollusca; Bivalvia; Mytilida; Mytilidae. The record is from RNAcentral.
CCAAAGUGGUCAGUUGACCCCUAUAGGAGUUAUUGACCUUUAUAGUCAAUUUUUAAACAUUUUUCGUAAAUCUUAGAAAUCUUUUACAAAAAUCUUCUCCUCUGAAACUACUGGGCCAAAUUAAACCAAACUUGGCCACAAUCAUCUUUGGGGUAUUUAAUUGAAAAAAAUGUGUCCGGAGACCCGGCCAUCCAACCAAAAUGGCUGCCACGGCUAAAAAUAGAACAUAGGGGUAAAAUGCAGUUUUUGGCUUAUAACUCAAAAGCCGAAGCAUUUAGAGAAAAUCUGACGUGUUAAAUUGUCUAUCAGGUCAAGAUCUAUUUGCCCUGAUAUUUUCACAUGGAUCGGAUAACCUGUUGUUAGGUUACUGCCCUGAGAUGGUAAUUUUAAGGAAAUUUUGCUGUUUUUUGUUAUUAUCUUGAAUAUUAUUAUAGAUAGAGAUAAACUGUAAAUAGCAAUAAUGUUCAGCAAAACAAGAUCUACAAAUAAGUUUUCAUGACCAAAAUAGUCAAUUGACCCCUUAAGGAGUUAUUGCCCUUUAUAGUUAAUUUUUAGCAUUUUUCAUAAAUUUUUGUAAAUUUUUAGAAAAUAUUUUCCACUGUAAUUACUGGGCCAAGUUCAUUAUAGAUUGAGAUAAUUGUACCAACAAGAAUGUUCAGUAAAGUAAGAUCUACAAACACAUCACCAUCACCAAAACACAAUUAUGUCAUGAAUUUAUCUGUGUCCCUUGUUUAAUAUGCACAUAGACCAAGGUGAGCGACACAGGCUCUUGAGAGCCUCUAGUCUUAGCUUCCCGUCAAGUGUUCAUGUGACUAUUUAAUGAUAAAGCACAUGGAAAUUGUUUACAGGUAUCCAUGAAGUCACGGAGGAGUACUUUACGCUGUCGUCUCGUGUCAAUUUUAAGACAAAUAACAAACAAAAAAGUUUAUUAGUAAACUGUUUAUACAGAUUCAGGCACAUGUAAUGAUGUGUGAUGAUAUCAUUGACGAUGAUGCAGCGGAUAUUCAUAACUGACACGAUAACCAUUCUGUCUCAAACAAAUCGGGUACAGAAUCUGUGGAGCCUGACUUUAUGGAACCAAUUUCAGUGGUUAAAU